Molecule: non-coding RNA, 45 nt
Organism: Schistosoma mansoni
Lineage: Eukaryota; Metazoa; Platyhelminthes; Trematoda; Strigeidida; Schistosomatidae
Source: Rfam
AUUCAGCUGACGAGUCCCGAACUGGACGAAACACGCGUUCUGUAC